CACAGCUGGGUGAGUAGGGAGGUGGGAAGCAUUAGGGAGGAGUUGGAGAGGGGAAACAUGCUUUCAAAGGGAAGAGGAAAGACGAAACAUUUAGCACUCUAUCCCCAAAGAAAGUGCAAUUUCUGACAUUUUAAAAACAUGUUUAACAGACAAGAAACAAAAAAGAAAAAUAUCUGGCAGUUUAUAAAAAAGGCUGAAGGCUGUGGUGGGGGACAGCUAGAAGAUCACAGUGAUGGACAGAGACAGCGCUAGACAGUCCUGACUAAUAGGGUUGGUGAGACAGCUGGUCAGGUAAAAGUGCUUGCUGACCCACAAUUCCACCAUAUUGUCCUUGACUUUCAAAUGUGUGUUGUGGCAUGCAUGUGUCCACCCUGCCUACACACACAUGCAAAUUUUAAAGUUCUGUACAGCUUGUUAAAGCCAUAAUCCUAUCAAGAAAUUAAGAACUACUUUAAUAGUUUAGCAUUAGAUUCUGCUAUUUCUUUCCAAAAUUAUGCCAGAAUGAUACAGUUCUGUCGCCAGAGACAUCUGACAGUCUGUUAGCUCAGAAGCUUAUCUUCUAAACUGCUGUGACAUACUCACCCGCUUUAUUACUAAGCUUAUAUAAAAAUGUUUGGCGAGGGUCUGAAUGAUCUCGACAUGUCAACUGUAAAAGAGAGCCUGAUUUUUUCCAUUUCUGCAUAAACCAGAGACCUAGAAAGUUGAAUAUGAUAUGUGAGCACAUAUGGGAAGGUAGUAAUACAUAAAUUUAUUAAUGUUAAUAUAUACUCAUUAAAAAUAACAUUUAAUAAUUAACAUUUUGUUGGUUAAUAAAAAUGUAUUUGCCAACUACUUUACUCUCUGAUAAACAUCUUUACAUGUAUUGCUUAAUGGUGGUUCAUGGAGGCACAGUGACAGAAUAUAUAGUAGUAUACAAACAGCAAACUUGGGAUGAGUCCACCUUUAGGCAGCCAACUUAAAAGUAUAAAACACAGAGAGCAAAACUUUAACCACAGUAGACCCAAAUGUCCAUGCGCUGGACUUUUAGUGAGAAGGUAGUUACAAGGAAGGUAAACAGACUUAAUUUAAACAGCACUUGGAAUGAAUGACUCAUCGACAUCUUCUAGUGACAAUUUGAAACGACUGGUUGGAAAUGGGUACAAAGAAACUGGAAUGAUUCAUCAAUGAAAUUUUAAAUGUAUUUUUACAGUGGGGAUCUGACUAAGCUAUCAUAUUAAAAAAAUCCAAGGGAAAAAUUAAAUCAACCUAUAGGUAAACUAAGGACCUGUCACAUCUUAAUAACUUUUUAUAUUGGUUUGGCAAUAUGACACAUAACCUUUAAUCCUAGAGUUAUGCUUUUUUACUUUUUAUUGAUGUAUUUAGUUUGUUGAGUAUAAAUGCUUGCCUGCAUAUAGAUGUGUGCACUGCAUGCAUGUCUGUUGAAAGUCCCUAGACUUGGUGUGAGUGAGAAAUCACAUGAGUGCUGAGAAUCACACUUGGAUUCUCCGCAAGAGCAACACGUCCUG
This 1505-nucleotide long non-coding RNA is filed under the name Mus musculus (house mouse). RNAcentral's name for it is "long non-coding RNA chr1:24020092-24021597". The record is from RNAcentral. Lineage: Eukaryota; Metazoa; Chordata; Mammalia; Rodentia; Muridae.